GAAUUUUCCGCGCGGAGCGGAAUUUCUCUUUGUCUUUUCUAAUUAGGUCUACCCAAGAAAUCACAAGACAAAGAAAAAUUCCGUUUCGCGCGCAAACAGUUGCGCCUA
This is a non-coding RNA of Paramuricea clavata, 108 nucleotides long. The record is from the annotation of a GenBank genome assembly. NCBI's taxonomy places the organism in Eukaryota, Metazoa, Cnidaria, Anthozoa, Malacalcyonacea, Plexauridae.